Oncorhynchus kisutch (coho salmon) is the source of this 438-nucleotide non-coding RNA. The record is from the annotation of a RefSeq genome assembly. Lineage: Eukaryota; Metazoa; Chordata; Actinopteri; Salmoniformes; Salmonidae.
UCCAGACACUUUAAGACUGCAGUGUUAUCAGCAUUGGGUACAGUCUUCUCAGAGCCACAAAUGAUGAUGAUACCACUGAUUCCCCUGCUGACCACUCUGGGGUUCCUGACUCAGGAAUCAUCUGGGGCUGGAGUUGUGACUCAGUCUCCUACUGCCAAGUCUGUUAGUCUGGGAGAGACUGUGUAUCUGAGCUGCACAGCCAGUAAGGGGGUGGAUGAUGACCUGAGCUGGUACCUGCAGAAACCUGGACAGUCCCCUCAACUCCUCUUCUAUAAAAUAAGUCAACGUCAGUCUAAAACUCCUGGUCAUUUCAGUAGCAGUGGAUCUCAACCAGAUUUUACUCUGACCAUCAGUAAAGUCCAGGCUGAAGAUGUAGGAGAUUACUACUGCAUGGGUGUGUACACUGAUGGGAGGACACAGUGAUUUAGAGUCAUACAU